Non-coding RNA from Cherax quadricarinatus, 410 nucleotides. NCBI's taxonomy places the organism in Eukaryota, Metazoa, Arthropoda, Malacostraca, Decapoda, Parastacidae. The record is from RefSeq and is a predicted model, not a curated record.
CCAUCCAGAGAUGAACUGGAUUGCCCCUUUUUCCUUCCACCUGAUAAUGCUUCAUGCAGCAAUUUGUCUAUCAUCAUUGUUAAUAGACAAUAUUUGCUAAUUAAAGCUCCUUUACCUUUUUUGUACCCUGCAGUGAAGGAGGUUUUUUUAAGGCACAUCUAAUAUUCCCUCGAGAAUAUCCUCUUCGGCCACCUAAAAUGAAGUUCAUCACAGAUAUUUGGCAUCCAAACAUUGAGAAGAAUGGAGAUGUGUGUAUCUCAAUUCUUCAUGAACCAGGGGAUGACAAGUGGGGUUAUGAAAAAGCCUCGGAACGCUGGCUUCCUGUGCAUACAGUAGAGACGAUCCUUAUCUCGGUCAUCAGUAUGCUUGCAGAUCCUAAUGAUGAAAGUCCAGCAAAUGUCGAUGCAGCG